AGUGAACGCUGGCGGUAGGCCUAACACAUGCAAGUCGAACGGCAGCACAGAGGAGCUUGCUCCUUGGGUGGCGAGUGGCGGACGGGUGAGGAAUACAUCGGAAUCUACUCUGUCGUGGGGGAUAACGUAGGGAAACUUACGCUAAUACCGCAUACGACCUACGGGUGAAAGCAGGGAACCUUCGGGCCUUGCGCGAUUGAAUGAGCCGAUGUCGGAUUCGCUAGUUGGCGGGGUAAAGGCCCACCAAGGCGACGAUCCGGAGCUGGUCUGAGAGGAUGAUCAGCCACACUGGAAAGGAGACACGGUCCAGACUCCUACGGGAGGCAGCAGUGGGGAAUAUUGGACAAGGGGCGCAAGCCUGAUCCAGCUAUACCGCGUGGGUGAAGAAGGCCUUCGGGUUGUAAAGCCCUUUUGUUGGGAAAGAAAUCCAGCUGGCUAAUACCCGGUUGGGAUGACGGUACCCAAAGAAUAAGCACCGGCUAACUUCGUGCCAGCCGCCGCGGUAA
This 506-nucleotide ribosomal RNA is filed under the name uncultured bacterium. RNAcentral's name for it is "partial 16S ribosomal RNA". It matches the Rfam family "Bacterial small subunit ribosomal RNA", at positions 29 to 523 of the family's 1533-position model. The record is from RNAcentral.